Oncorhynchus gorbuscha (pink salmon) is the source of this 393-nucleotide long non-coding RNA. RefSeq lists it as uncharacterized. NCBI's taxonomy places the organism in Eukaryota, Metazoa, Chordata, Actinopteri, Salmoniformes, Salmonidae. The transcript is spliced from 3 exons. The record is from RefSeq and is a predicted model, not a curated record.
CUGUGUCUAACCUGUCUGUAGGUAUGGUGAUCAGGCAGCCAGAGGAAUCCCCAAGACCAGUCCUGGUAGAGGAGCAGGAGGGUUCUUCUCUGGAGUUCUCACUGCACUCACCUGUGUCGCGGUGAUGUUUCUGGUGUACCACUGGUCCAGUGGAGAUGGAGUCCAUGACCUCUUGGUCAGUAAGCCUGUGUCAAAAUGGACGCCGGAGGAGGUUCUGUUCUGGUUGGAACACCUUGGGGCUUGGACCUCUGUCUAUAAAGAACCCUUCCUACAGGAGAACGUUAAUGGACGGUUAUUGUUGAUGCUCGGUGAUGAGGAGCUGACCAGAGCUCCCUAUAACAUAGACAACCAGGCCCACAGGAGAGCGAUGAUGGCUGAACUGGAGAGGAUCAA